Molecule: ribosomal RNA, 253 nt
Filed under: uncultured bacterium
Lineage: Bacteria
Description: partial 16S ribosomal RNA
Rfam family: Bacterial small subunit ribosomal RNA
Source: RNAcentral
UACGUAGGUGGCAAGCGUUAUCCGGAAUUAUUGGGCGUAAGGAGCGCGCAGGUGGUUAAUUAAGUCUGAUGUGAAAGCCCACGGCUUAACCGUGGAGGGUCAUUGGAAACUGGUUGACUUGAGUGCAGAAGAGGGAAGUGGAAUUCCAUGUGUAGCGGUGAAAUGCGUAGAGAUAUGGAGGAACACCAGUGGCGAAGGCGGCUUCCUGGUCUGCAACUGACACUGAGGCGCGAAAGCGUGGGGAGCAAACAGG